UUUAAGGGAACUGUUUUAUGUCUCAGACGCUAAAAUAACAUUUCCAUCUUUGUCUGCUACAAAUUAAGGUAGUUUAGAGACUAACAACAUGUAGAUGUCUGUCUAAAUUAAACUAUAUAUAAAAAAGAUGGUUCUUUACAUGUAGUAACGGUUCUAUUUAGAACCACAGCACCCCGAAGAACCCUUUUAUGCUUAAAUGGUUCUUUGUGUUAGAGUUUAGGGUUCUUUAUUCCCGCCCUUUUGUUUUUCAAAUCUGUAACUGUCAAAGCUCCUCAUUACUGACUUUCUGGAGCUCAGUGAUCCAACUACAGACCGUCAACAUACUCUCAACAGUUUAAGAGCACAUGUGUGGCCAGCUCUGUUCAGUUAAGGAUACUUCUUUCUCCAUCUCCACUAAAUGAUGUCACAUCCUAAAACCUCUUCAUCUGCAGAGAGAAACUGCACUCAAUCACACCAAAAAUACACAUAAUGAUGGACUUACAGGCAUCAUAGAGGAUUGUGAAAAUACAGUAUUUCACUUGAAUUUGCUCUUCAUUGUCUAAAUUGUCAUUUAUUAAUGUAUUCUGCUAAUAAUGGUUUUUAGAUCACUGUCAUUUUUGCUACAAUUUCACAAGUCAUUAAAUGAAAAAUAAAAUAAAAUAAAAUACCUAAGUGACAUGCUGUUGUUGUUUUUAUGAAAACAUUAUUAGACACUGUAAGAUAUUACAAGACCAGGCCGGGGGUAAAAAAACAACAAAAAUCCAACAAUAAUAAUAAAUGAUUUAUUCAAAUAAUAUUAAUAAAACUAAUAUCAAUGAUAUAAAUAUACUUAUAAAUAAAAAUAAACUAUCAUUAAAAAGGCUAUUUAUAGCACCUUUAAGGUUCUAUAUAGCACUUUUAAAGCAUGGUUCUUUAUGGAACCCUAUAAAAAGGGUUCUAUUUAGCACCAAAAGGGUUCUGCUAUUAUUACAAGCUGAAGAACCCUUUUCUGGUACUGUUUAGAACCAUUUUUCUUAAGAGUGUAGAGUCAAUCACACUCAGUGCUUGACCGGAACAUUAUUUUAUGUUUGUUGUAGUAAUCAGAUUUUCUGGUUCAAAUUAACUACGGCACCCCAU
Molecule: long non-coding RNA, 1095 nt
Organism: Cyprinus carpio (common carp)
Lineage: Eukaryota; Metazoa; Chordata; Actinopteri; Cypriniformes; Cyprinidae
Exons: 3
Source: RefSeq, a predicted model, not a curated record